This 105-nucleotide ribosomal RNA is filed under the name Callithrix jacchus (white-tufted-ear marmoset). The record is from RNAcentral. Lineage: Eukaryota; Metazoa; Chordata; Mammalia; Primates; Cebidae.
GUCUAUGGCCAUACCACCCUGAAUGCGCCCAAUCUUGUCUGAUCUCGAAAGCUAAGCAGGGUCAGGCCUGGUUAGUACUUGGAUGGGAGGAACUGGAAACAGAUC